CAGUAGCCGCGGUAAUACGAAGGGGGCUAGCGUUGCUCGGAAUGACUGGGCGUAAAGGGCGCGUAGGCGGAUGGCACAGUCAGAUGUGAAAUUCCCGGGCUUAACCUGGGGGCUGCAUUUGAUACGUGUUGUCUAGAGUGAGGAAGAGGGUCGUGGAAUUCCCAGUGUAGAGGUGAAAUUCGUAGAUAUUGGGAAGAACACCGGUGGCGAAGGCGGCGACCUGGUCCUUUACUGACGCUGAGGCGCGAAAGCGUGAGGAGCAAACAGGAUUAGAUACCCGCGUAGUCCCUGUCUCUUAUAC
RNAcentral lists this ribosomal RNA (301 nucleotides) under uncultured bacterium. RNAcentral describes it as "partial 16S ribosomal RNA". It matches the Rfam family "Bacterial small subunit ribosomal RNA", at positions 509 to 807 of the family's 1533-position model. The record is from RNAcentral.